RNAcentral lists this ribosomal RNA (387 nucleotides) under uncultured bacterium. RNAcentral's name for it is "bacterial SSU rRNA". It matches the Rfam family "Bacterial small subunit ribosomal RNA", at positions 30 to 419 of the family's 1533-position model. The record is from RNAcentral.
AUUGAACGCUGGCGGAAUGCUUUACACAUGCAAGUCGAACGGCAGCACGGGGCAACCUGGUGGCGAGUGGCGAACGGUGAGUAAUACAUCGGAACGUGCCCAAUCGUGGGGGAUAACGUAGCGAAAGUUACGCUAAUACCGCAUACGAUCUACGGAUGAAAGCGGGGGAUCGCAAGACCUCGCGCGAAUGGAGCGGCCGAUGUCAGAUUAGGUAGUUGGUGGGUAAAGGCUCACCAAGCCGACGAUCUGUAGCUGGUCUGAGAGGACGACCCAGCCACACUGGGACUGAGACACGGCCCAGACUCCUACGGGAGGCAGCAGUGGGGAAUUUUGGACAAUGGGCGCAAGCCUGAUCCAGCCAUUCCGCGUGCCAGGAUGAAGGCCUUC